RNAcentral lists this ribosomal RNA (393 nucleotides) under Triticum aestivum (bread wheat). Its description in RNAcentral is "partial small subunit ribosomal RNA". Lineage: Eukaryota; Viridiplantae; Streptophyta; Magnoliopsida; Poales; Poaceae. The record is from RNAcentral.
AUGUUGAAUCAGGGACCUUUGUUGAUGACUUUGGAUCAUCAUUUAUUCCGAAAUGAGCUGAAUAUGGUUGCCUCCCUCCAUUCCAUGAGAAAGUUAGUUCAAUGCGUUAAUCCCUAUUCCUUGCAUGUGUGGUUAGCUUUGUUCUAUUCUUACAUUGAUGGAGACAGUAAGUACAUAGAUGUUAUCACUACUGCAAAUCUCAAACAUGUUUUGGCUUAUUCAAAGAUCACACGUAUUUCUUUCCCCAACAUCUAUUCCUAUUGCUCCAUUGAUCUGAUUUUGAGUAUUUCCAGGUUAGAAAGUGAUGUUUCCAAACAAUUUAGGAUCAAUGGAAGAAAAUAUCCAAUGUGCCAGGUUAUGCGCAACUCAACAUUUGACCUUUGUUAUUUGUAG